RNAcentral lists this ribosomal RNA (448 nucleotides) under uncultured Bacteroidota bacterium. Its description in RNAcentral is "bacterial SSU rRNA". It matches the Rfam family "Bacterial small subunit ribosomal RNA", at positions 28 to 468 of the family's 1533-position model. Lineage: Bacteria; Pseudomonadati; Bacteroidota. The record is from RNAcentral.
GAUGAACGCUAGCGGGAGGCUUAACACAUGCAAGUCGAGGGGCAGCACGAGGUAGUAAUACUUUGGUGGCGACCGGCGCACGGGUGAGUAACGCGUAUGCAACCUACCCUGUACUGGGGGAUAGCCCGGAGAAAUUCGGAUUAAUACCCCAUAAUUAUAUUUGGAGGCAUCUUCAGAUAUUUAAAGUUUCGACGGUACGGGAUGGGCAUGCGUGACAUUAGCUAGUUGGUAAGGUAACGGCUUACCAAGGCUACGAUGUCUAGGGGUCCUGAGAGGGUGAUCCCCCACACUGGUACUGAGACACGGACCAGACUCCUACGGGAGGCAGCAGUGAGGAAUAUUGGUCAAUGGGCGCAAGCCUGAACCAGCCAUCCCGCGUGAAGGAAGAAGGCGCUAUGCGUCGUAAACUUCUUUUCCGGAGGAAUAAAAUUUCGUACGUGUACGGAAC